Molecule: non-coding RNA, 91 nt
Organism: Pestalotiopsis sp. NC0098
Lineage: Eukaryota; Fungi; Ascomycota; Sordariomycetes; Amphisphaeriales; Sporocadaceae
Source: the annotation of a GenBank genome assembly
CCUAGCUUGGUGUAAUGGUAGCACAUCUGUAGUCACCAGGAAACUGGCCCUUCGGGGGGAGAAGGUCUGGGUUCGAAUCCUGGAGCUAGGA